RNAcentral lists this long non-coding RNA (435 nucleotides) under Hordeum vulgare. RNAcentral describes it as "long non-coding RNA (HVUL_LNC021269)". The record is from RNAcentral. Lineage: Eukaryota; Viridiplantae; Streptophyta; Magnoliopsida; Poales; Poaceae.
CUCCACUGGACUCCUAUGAAUACCAUAAAAUUAUGAACGAUAUGAGGUCCCCUCAACUCUGAGUGCUAAUAUGGCAUCCAGAGGCGAGGGGCCAAAAGUAUUUUCUGGCGACGGCUGCUCUUCCUCAAACCCUAGCUCUCGGUCCUCAUAAUACAAGUCGGUAAGGCCAAUGCCUAGGGGCUAGGAAAUAUUCUAACACCCUUGUACCUUCAUGGAUGGUCGGUUCGGCUAGUUGCUUGAAUGCUAUAUAUCUUUUAUAAUUAUCGUGAAGCAGAGUGAUCAAUAACUCUACAAUCAUACGGGGAUGACAUGUUUGUUCUUUGAUCGAGCGGUUUUUAGAAGGCUUUGGGGGAGCGGUUUUGUGAACCUUCUAGCGGUUUUAGGAAGGUUCCAAAUUGUUUUUUUCAACCAAUUCUAUUUGUUUCUUUAAAUUCC